CCAAAAACAUAAACAUAACCUCUGACUCAACAUCUGGUGAAUUAAAUAAUAUUUAUCAGCCUAAACAAUGUCUAAUUUAACGGAAGAUGAUUACUGGAAAGAAAGUAGACUCUCCGGAUUUUCGUUCGACGAUGAUGUCAAAGAGGAAACUGUUGAUUACAGUGAUGACACAAACGAAACAUUGUUUUACAACUCCUUGCAUAAUACAACAACACUCCCAAUACAUUCUGUUAUUUCAAAAAAGGGAUUAGAUUGCAUUUUGCAAGAUACAAAACUUGCAGCCCGACACAGUGCCCCUGUUGUGGAGGAAACUAUUAAAAAAUUAUUCCUUGGCGUUCCUUGCGUUCUUGACCAUUAUAGAGAUUUAGAACAAAAGCUUGAGCUCCUUCAAAAAGCUUGUGAGACUUUUGAUGGUAAUGUUAUAUUAAAGGUUGUUUUAUUUUUGAGAAGAACUCUUAAUGACACAAACUUUCAUUACCACAUUUCCAAGCAUAAAAUAGCUUUAAAUCAAUACACAAAUUAUUUGAUUAGUCAAUAUAAAUUCCCGGAAUUACACACUGUUUAUAUGGCCACCGGAAGCACAAACGAAUUGAUAAACACUUUUUAUUUGCCAGCGAGAAAUUACACAAGUAUAAGAAAAACCAAAGAAGAGAUAGGCAACUUUUUUAACAGCCUUGGUAGUAUAGUUUCAGCGUUUAAUAAAACCACCUUAACCCAAUACCAAACCUUCUUAGAUUAUUUAAUAAAAUACAACCUAACAUCAGAUAGUCCGAUUGAGUGCUUAUUAAAUUUAUUUAAAGAAAAUGUACAGAAUAAAGUUUCAUCGCAAGAUAUCGUUUUGUAUUGCAACAGUUUAAAAAUUGACACAAUUCAACAACAUUGGAUAAAAAUAAACGUUUUGGUGACGUCUGAUUUGUGGGAAAAAUUAUUGCAGGAAUUCGUUAAACCGAACGCUUUUAUGAAAAAAAUUAAAUGCGAUGUUGAUGUAGACACUUUAGUCACCGCUUUACACCAACACGGGGCUCCUAAACACAUUUUGUGCCAAUUUCUACAAGGUAUGAGUGACGCAGAUCGCGGAAUGCAUCUUGGAAAGAAAUAUCAGUGUCACAAAUUUGUUAUUGAGAAAUUGGUAGAAAAUCGCGAUAGGGAAGCUUUAAUUGAGUACAAAAAAUGUAUUCCUGCCCAAAGUGAAGAGUAUUUUUAUUUGGAAAAAGAGUUAUUAUCGGAUAAAAAAUGGAAAACAAAACGAAGGAGUAUGAUUUGAUGUAAAAUUCCUGUUUUAAUUAGUGUUGGUGGUAAUAGAUGGCGUUAUGUGCUUUUAAGUGUACGGUGUUUCUCGGUGAAAUUUUGGUAUGCGAUGGUCGUCGGGUUGAGAGAUGACCAGGAAGCGAUGAUUUUUUAUUGAUGCGGGGGACCUUCGUCGCAUACGACGAAGAACGUACGAGUCUCUCGCGCCGACACCGGAUCGCACACGCCCUUUGCCCAAUACACGUCCUAAUCGAUACAGUCGCGGCCUGUAUCUGGAUUGCUUCACCACAUAUUGCCAUAUUUAAUGACAGGCUAGAGUACUCAGAUGAAGAGCGGUAGAUACAGCGGGCGGGUCCGUGGGAAAGUAGCUGUAUACCCCUCGGCUUGAGGUCACGCGUUGACCCCGGCCGCCCGGGCCCCCGCCGCCCCGCGAUGUCCACCUUACCGAUAUAGAUCCACCCAGGCCGCCUCAACUAGCCCCGUUCCGGGCCCGGCUCCGUUCUUGCGCCGGGUGCCCCAGCGCCAAAAAGGCCUAAAAGAAAUCUCGGCCGACGCGGCCGCCCGCCCGACCGUACGUUCUGACCGCGGACCACCGAGAACCAGAAACAAAUCGGCCCAAUAAUUAUCUAUUACACUACAUGUAAUUUUUUGUUAGUCACUCUCACGCGACCAAUUUCUUUCAACGCUCGUUCAAAACGAAACAAAUCUUUUCUAUCAUUUAAAACUCUUCAUGUGUACUGUAUGAAUCUAUAACCUUGUCUAUAAAACUAUAGCUAUUCAACAAGCUUUAGUUAGUGGUCAUGAUGCGAAGAUGGCGGUAUACAUAAUGUGCAUAUUAUUUAUGAAUAAUUCAUAAAAUUUUCAAUGUUCACACUAUCUUGCAAUCUUUAUAAAGAGUCCAGAUUCACCUAGAAGGUUGAGUCAACCUACUUUGUUGUGAUAAAUAAAUAUUAUAAAAAAGUA
This 2211-nucleotide unclassified non-coding RNA is filed under the name Onthophagus taurus. Its description in RNAcentral is "vacuolar protein sorting-associated protein 16B, transcript variant X1". Lineage: Eukaryota; Metazoa; Arthropoda; Insecta; Coleoptera; Scarabaeidae. The record is from RNAcentral.